UUUUGUUGCAAAGCUUUAACCCUAGACUUGUUCUUGGGAACCAACAAUAACAUUGAGUUCAGACCAAAUGGUCAAAGGAGGAGUGGGAAGAGAACAGAGAUAUCCUCCCUCCAUUUUCUUUAGGGGAAAACCGUGGUUUGGCUACAACAAUCAGAUUGGCUAUCCUAUGCAUUGUGAUGCCAAAAGCUUCGGCCAAGUCCAAAUCUUUAGCUGUAGUACCAGCGGGAAGCUCCCAAUCAAAGCUAUGCAGAAGUUGUGCUAGAGCAAGCUCAAUGCUGGCUGUGCUAAAUGUAAUCGCUGGACAACCUCUUCUACCAGCCCCAAAAGGGAGAAGUACUGGUGCUGCUGGAUGCAACCUAUAUAUCUCUUUGAUGACAGCUUUCAUGUAGUCCAGCUGAUGCAGAUCACUCUCCAAUACGACUCUUCUUUCCCCAACAACACCUCGUACUUCAGCUUGUGCUUUUU
Molecule: long non-coding RNA, 465 nt
Organism: Rosa rugosa (rugosa rose)
Lineage: Eukaryota; Viridiplantae; Streptophyta; Magnoliopsida; Rosales; Rosaceae
Exons: 3
Source: RefSeq, a predicted model, not a curated record